RNAcentral lists this ribosomal RNA (301 nucleotides) under uncultured bacterium. RNAcentral describes it as "partial 16S ribosomal RNA". It matches the Rfam family "Bacterial small subunit ribosomal RNA", at positions 509 to 808 of the family's 1533-position model. The record is from RNAcentral.
CAGUCGCCGCGGUAAUACGGGGGGGGCAAGUGUUAUUCGGAAUGACUGGGCGUAAAGGGCACGUAGGCGGUGAAAAGGGUGGAAAGUGAAAGUCGCCAAAACACUGGCGGGGUGCUUUCUUGACCAUUUCACUUGAGUGAGAUAGGGGAGAGUGGAAUUUCGUGUGGAGGGAUCAAAUCCUAAGAUAUACGAAGGAACGCCAACCGCGAAGGCAGCUCUCUGGGUCCCCACUGACGCUGGGGUGCGAAAGCAUGGGGAGCAAACAGGAUCAGAUACCCCAGUAGUCCCUGUCUCUUAUACA